Long non-coding RNA from Sarcophilus harrisii (Tasmanian devil), 1859 nucleotides. NCBI's taxonomy places the organism in Eukaryota, Metazoa, Chordata, Mammalia, Dasyuromorphia, Dasyuridae. The record is from Ensembl.
GGGCAAAAAGAGAAGCUCAGAGCACUUCGGACCCUGGUUCCGUGCCCCAGGGACCCCCUGAGCCAGCCCUCUGUUAGGAGCACAGCCGAACUCCAUCAUCUCCUGCUUCUUCAUUUGGGCUUCCCAAGAAGGAAGGGCACCAGCCCAGGGUUUGGCAGCCCCCGGAGAGGGCAUCCUGAGUGGCCGGGGGAGCCCCAGGCUCUUCCACAUACCAGGGAGACGGGCAACCUGGGGGAGAAGGUGCAGGAUGGGGGCUGGAGGCCCUGCGGGCAGGAGGAAGAUGGGCUGCUGACUCUGACCAGCACCAGCUCUGGGGGCCCUGCGGAGGCUGUGGACACCAACGAUGAGGAGGCUUCUGCCUCUGCGACCUGCUCCACCUGCCCCAUCCUGGACCUGCCCCCUCCCUGGCCCACGGGCUGCGGGGCUGAGGACGUCCAGGCCUUCUGCUUCAUCUGCCUUCACAAGGAAGAAGAGACUCUGGAGACCCUUCCCCUUCAGAGGCCCUCCUCAGGCUGAGUACCCCCGACCCUCAAGCCCCAGCCGGCCGAAGUCCCCUUGGGCACGUCUCCCUGGCUGAGAAGAGGAAUGCAUUCUGCUCAGUUCUGGUGGCCUUCCUCUCCCUACAUACCCUGGAUUCCUAAAAUCCCUGGUACUUGGUGGGGGAGACUGGGGGGGAAUGGAAGGAAAGGGGGUGGGGGUGCGUGAGGUGUGUGUCUGCCUAGUUGGAGGAGGAAGGAAGGUGAAUCAUCUACUUACAAGCCCACCUAAUGGCAGCUGGGGUAGCCCCACUCCCCCAGCCACAUGCUUUGGCUCAGUCAUCAUCCUCUACCUUUACCCUCAGCUCCGGAACAGGUGGGGAGCCCAACUCCUCGUGACACCCUAGAAUGAUAAUCUCCAUAUCUUACAUAAAGGGAAACUGAGGCUGGGGAGGGGCACAAGACAAACUAGUCACAAAGUCACAAAGGUCUCUGGGCACUUUCUCCCAGACCAUGUUGCUUCAGGCUUUCCCCUGUCGGUCUUGGGUGGAGCUAUCUGGGCUCUUCUCAGGUCCUUAGAGAUCUCCAUCCCUAGGUGCUGAUUCAGCCUCCAGGCACAGUGUGUGGGUGGGGCUUGGAGCAGAGGUGACCCCUGUCUCCAGCUGCCAACACUCAGUCCUUUUCUUGGAGGUCUGUGGUUAAGUGGGUUACUGGUGGUUAAUGCACUUGCUUUUGGGUUGGGAACAUGCUGAAAGAGGUCUCAUGUUUCCCUGAAAGCUCACAGACCCGACAGCAGCUGAGUGCAGCUCCUGCCUCUGGCUUCUUUGGCCCACUGGCCCCUUCCCCACAAAGUGGGCACACAAACACAAAGACCCCGUGUCCAUAAAUGCCCACUUACACGUGAGCACCACGCACACCCACACAAACACAUGAGACCGGCUUUCAGCGCUUGAGUCUCCCUGGCUCUCUGCCCUGUAGGCAACAGGCAGAGGGGGAGAGAAACCAGGAGAGAAGGUGGAAAGAAACAAGCAUUUAAGGACCCCUGAUGGGAGUCCCAAGUCAUUAACUGGGCUCGCACCCAUUCUGGAACAAGAAGGUUCAAGGAACCUAAAGUCCUGGGAGAUUCUGGGGCCAGGGACACUCACACACACUCCCUGCUAUAACAUGGAAAAACCCAUUAAGGACACAAGAAAUUCAGGAAACCUCCCUCCGAUUUCACAGUCCGGCCCAGCCAAGAGAAGCAGCUGGACACAGAGGAAAGCGCUGUUCCGUGGGCUCCCUGGGAGGAGGAUUUAAAAUGGGGAUCUUGCCUCUCUCUUCUAGGGGACUGAAGGCUGUGUUCUUGCCCAUCUUGUGUGUGUGUGCACCAGUAGGUACAAAAUA